CGUACAUACUAGGAAGGACCAGUGAAAUCCAGUUUUAUUUUUGGAUACCAGAUUUAAGAUUUAACGACAUCGAAGUAAGGAUGGACCGCCCUGAGACCUGGGUCACACACUUCUGCCCCAAACCAUCUCAAGCAUAAAGGAAAGAGAAGGCCAUGGGCAACUCGGACCAAGUGUGGUUCCUCCAAAUUGAGUCCCACAGGAGGAAGCGCCUCCCAGAGCCAACCCGGAGCUGCCGCCCGGACAAAGACACCCUUCCUUUCUAGCGUUCUAUGGAUCCUUAAGCAAAAAGAUCAACACGGUUUCUCAGGUCAUAAUUGAUUCAGCUUAUAACCCUGGAUGAGGCCGAGGAGGUGACUCAGAGUGUAAAUGCUUUCCUGAGAAAGCAUGAGAAGAGGAGUUAAGAAGCCUGGACCCCACUACCCUUUGCCACCCAGAAAAGGUGAGGUACUGAGGCAUGAGCCUCUAACCCAGGUGGGAGAUGCCCAGGCAGAUGCCCGGAAGCUCUUCGCCCAGCUAGCCUGGCCUUUACGGUGGCAUGUCCAAGCCCACGAGAGAUCCUGGAAAAUGCUUGAGGACCAACCAAAGUUGACCUUCAGUCCUCCACAAGCAUGCCAUGAGUAUGUG
Long non-coding RNA from Meriones unguiculatus (Mongolian gerbil), 624 nucleotides. RefSeq lists it as uncharacterized. Lineage: Eukaryota; Metazoa; Chordata; Mammalia; Rodentia; Muridae. The transcript has 4 exons. The record is from RefSeq and is a predicted model, not a curated record.